This 513-nucleotide ribosomal RNA is filed under the name uncultured bacterium. RNAcentral's name for it is "partial 16S ribosomal RNA". It matches the Rfam family "Bacterial small subunit ribosomal RNA", at positions 28 to 523 of the family's 1533-position model. The record is from RNAcentral.
GAUGAACGCUGGCGGCGUGCCUAAUACAUGCAAGUCGAGCGAACGGAUAAGGAGCUUGCUCCUUUGAAGUUAGCGGCGGACGGGUGAGUAACACGUGGGUAACCUACCUAUAAGACUGGAAUAACUUCGGGAAACCGGAGCUAAUGCCGGAUAACAUCUAGAACCGCAUGGUUCUAUAGUGAAAGAUGGUUUUGCUAUCACUUAUAGAUGGACCCGCGCCGUAUUAGCUAGUUGGUAAGGUAAUGGCUUACCAAGGCGACGAUACGUAGCCGACCUGAGAGGGUGAUCGGCCACACUGGAACUGAGACACGGUCCAGACUCCUACGGGAGGCAGCAGUAGGGAAUCUUCCGCAAUGGGCGAAAGCCUGACGGAGCAACGCCGCGUGAGUGAUGAAGGUUUUCGGAUCGUAAAACUCUGUUAUUAGGGAAGAACAAAUGCGUAAGUAACUGUGCGCAUCUUGAGGGUACCUAAUCAGAAAGCCACGGCUAACUACGUGCCAGCCGCCGCCGUAA